RNAcentral lists this ribosomal RNA (397 nucleotides) under uncultured bacterium. RNAcentral's name for it is "partial 16S ribosomal RNA". It matches the Rfam family "Bacterial small subunit ribosomal RNA", at positions 523 to 918 of the family's 1533-position model. The record is from RNAcentral.
AUACGUAGGGGGCGAGCGUUGUCCGGAAUGAUUGGGCGUAAAGGGCGCGUAGGCGGCCCGGUACGUCUGUAGUGAAAGUCCUGUGUUUAAGAUGGGAAUUGCUUUGGAUACUGUCGGGCUUGAGUGCAGGAGAGGUAAGUGGAAUUCCCAGUGUAGCGGUGAAAUGCGUAGAGAUUGGGAGGAACACCAGUGGCGAAGGCGACUUACUGGACUGUAACUGACGCUGAGGCGCGAAAGUGUGGGGAGCAAACAGGAUUAGAUCCCCUGGUAGUCCACACUGUAAACGAUGAAUGCUAGGUGUAGGGGGUAUCGACCCCUUCUGUGCCGCAGUCAACACAAUAAGCAUUCCGCCUGGGGAGUACGGCCGCAAGGUUGAAACUCAAAGGAAUUGACGGGG